This 729-nucleotide ribosomal RNA is filed under the name uncultured bacterium. Its description in RNAcentral is "bacterial SSU rRNA". It matches the Rfam family "Bacterial small subunit ribosomal RNA", at positions 73 to 780 of the family's 1533-position model. The record is from RNAcentral.
UCCCGACUUGUCGGGAUAGUAAACUGGCGAACGGGUGAGUAACGCGUAGGUAAUCUGCCCUUGGGAUUGGGAUAAUCCGCCGAAAGGCGGACUAAUACCGAAUAAAUUCCCGAUACUUAAGCAUUGGGAUGAAAGGUGGGGAUUUUCGGACCUGCUACCUGAGGAUGAGCCUGCGUCUGAUUAGCUAGUUGGUAGAUUAAAAGCCUACCAAGGCUACAAUCAGUAGCUGGUCUGAGAGGAUGAUCAGCCACAUUGGGACUGAGAUACGGCCCAGACUCCUACGGGAGGCAGCAGUGGGGAAUCUUGCGCAAUGGCCGAAAGGCUGACGCAGCAACGCCGCGUGACCGAUUGAAGCUCUGAGGAGUGUAAAGGUCUGUUGUGGGAGAAGAAAAAAUCAGAGGAUAAUAUGUUCUGAUUCUGACGGUAUCCCAUAAGAAAGCUCCGGCUAACUCCGUGCCAGCAGCCGCGGUAAUACGGGGGGAGCAAGCGUUGUCCGGAAUUAUUGGGCGUAAAGAGCGUGUAGGUGUCUCGAUAAGUUUUUUGUGAAAUGCUUCCGCUCAACGGAAGAGCUGCAAGAAAUACUGUCGGGAUUGAGUUCAGAAGGGGGAAGCGGAAUUCCUGGUGUAGCGGUGAAAUGCGUAGAUAUCAGGAAGAACACCGGUAGCGAAGGCGGCUUCCUGGUCUGAAACUGACACUGAGACGCGAAAGCGUGGGGAGCGAACAGGAUUA